Molecule: ribosomal RNA, 253 nt
Filed under: uncultured bacterium
Lineage: Bacteria
Description: partial 16S ribosomal RNA
Rfam family: Bacterial small subunit ribosomal RNA
Source: RNAcentral
UACGGAGGAUGCAAGCGUUGUUCGGAAUCACUGGGCUUAAAGAGCGUGUAGGUGGGGUGUCAGGCGUCGGGUGAAAUCCCUCGGCUCAACCGAGGAACUGCCUGGCGAACCGGCAUUCUUGAGGCAGGUAGAGGUGGCUGGAACGACGGGUGGAGCGGUGAAAUGCGUAGAUAUCCGGUGGAACGCCGGCGGCGAAAGCGAGCCACUGGGCCUGCCCUGACACUGAGACGCGAAAGCGUGGGGAGCAAACAGG